CUUUCUGGUAGGACGGAAAGAGGACAUCUUAGGAUGUGCUGGUCUCUUUGGCACCAGACUGCUAACUCUUUUUCGUUCUGCCACCAUA
RNAcentral lists this non-coding RNA (88 nucleotides) under Acinetobacter calcoaceticus. Lineage: Bacteria; Pseudomonadati; Pseudomonadota; Gammaproteobacteria; Moraxellales; Moraxellaceae. The record is from RNAcentral.